UAUGGCCAUAUCACGUUACAACACCGGUUCCUGUAUGAUCAUUGAAGUUAAGUAACGCCGAGCCUGGUCAGUACUUAGAUGGGUGACCGCUUG
Molecule: non-coding RNA, 93 nt
Organism: Acanthosepion pharaonis
Lineage: Eukaryota; Metazoa; Mollusca; Cephalopoda; Sepiida; Sepiidae
Source: the annotation of a GenBank genome assembly